RNAcentral lists this ribosomal RNA (366 nucleotides) under Triticum aestivum (bread wheat). RNAcentral describes it as "partial small subunit ribosomal RNA". Lineage: Eukaryota; Viridiplantae; Streptophyta; Magnoliopsida; Poales; Poaceae. The record is from RNAcentral.
AUGGAAAUAAUCGUCGUGGACAAGUCAAUUCAAGUUUUCUUGAAGCGCAAAUUCAAAUUCAUAAGAUUAGAUGUUUCUUUCGCGAUAAAGAAUGGGUCGGAGAUUCGUUUUUGGGAAGACAUCUGGCUAGGCAAUGCCAGUCUCCGAGAACAAUAUCCAGGCUUAUACAACAUUGUUCGCGAUAAGAAUAAUACUAUUGUGCAAGUGCUCAGUUCAUUCCCGCCGAAUAUUUCGUUCAGGCGGGAUUUGAUUGGCCCCCGACUUGUGUCAUGGCAUAAUCUUUUAUCCCGACUGGAUUCGAUUAACCUGACACAAGGGCGGGAUGUGUUUCGCUGGAACCGUACUACAUCAGGGUCUUUCACUGUA